Molecule: ribosomal RNA, 1155 nt
Filed under: human gut metagenome
Description: bacterial LSU rRNA
Rfam family: Bacterial large subunit ribosomal RNA
Source: RNAcentral
CAAACUUACCACCGAAGCUACGGGCUUGCGUAAGCAAGCGGUAGGGGAGCGUCGUAAUCGGGCUGAAGUCGUACCGUAAGGAGCGGUGGACUGAUUACGAGUGAGAAUGUUGGCAUUAGUAGCGAGAUGUAGGUGAGAAUCCUACAGGCCGAAUAUCUAAGGUUUCCUCAGGAAGGCUCGUCCGCUGAGGGUUAGUCGGGACCUAAGCCGAGGCCGAAAGGCGUAGGCGAUGGACAAUCGGUUGAUAUUCCGAUACCACUACCAUCGUUAUUAUCGAGGGUGUGACGGAGAAGGAUAGUGUGUGCUAGCGAUUGGAAAUGCUAGUCUAAGCGUUUAGGGAGUUACGGUAGGCAAAUCCGCUGUAACAAUUCUGAGGCGUGAUGGGGAAGGUCAUUAAGACCGAAGUACAUGAUUCCAUGCUUCCAAGAAAAGCAUCUAGAGAGAGAAGUAGUGCCCGUACCGCAAACCGACACAGGUAGAUGAGGAGAGAAUCCUAAGGCCGGCGGAAGAAUUGCAGUUAAGGAACUAGGCAAAUUGACCCCGUAAGUUAGCGAGAAGGGGUGCCUGCGAGAGCAGGCCGCAGAGAAUAGGCCCAAGCAACUGUUUAGCAAAAACACAGGUCUCUGCUAAAGCGUAAGCUGAUGUAUAGGGGCUGACGCCUGCCCGGUGCUGGAAGGUUAAGGGGAACACUUAGCGCAAGCGAAGGUGUGAACUUAAGCCCCAGUAAACGGCGGCCGUAACUAUAACGGUCCUAAGGUAGCGAAAUUCCUUGUCAGGUAAGUUCUGACCCGCACGAAUGGCGUAAUGACUUGGGCACUGUCUCAACUGCAAAUCCGGCGAAGUUGUAGUGCGAGUGAAGAUGCUCGCUACCCGCGAUUGGACGGAAAGACCCCGUAGAGCUUUACUGUAGCUUAGCAUUGAAUUCCGGUAUUGUCUGUACAGGAUAGGUGGGAGACUGGGAAACUAGGGCGUCAGCCUUAGUGGAGUCAACCUUGGGAUACCACCCUGACAGUACUGGGGUUCUAACAGGACGCCAUGAAACUGGUGACUGGACAUUGUUAGGUGGGCAGUUUGACUGGGGCGGUCGCCUCCUAAAAAGUAACGGAGGCGCCCAAAGGUUCCCUCAGAACGGUCGGAAAUCGUUCGUAGAGUGCA